This 569-nucleotide ribosomal RNA is filed under the name Atlantihyla spinipollex (Ceiba stream frog). RNAcentral describes it as "partial 16S ribosomal RNA". It matches the Rfam family "Bacterial large subunit ribosomal RNA", at positions 1829 to 2597 of the family's 2925-position model. The record is from RNAcentral. Lineage: Eukaryota; Metazoa; Chordata; Amphibia; Anura; Hylidae.
CGCCUCUUGACCAAAUAUAAGAGGUCCAGCCUGCCCAGUGACCCUGUUCAACGGCCGCGGUAUCCUAACCGUGCGAAGGUAGCGUAAUCACUUGUCCUUUAAAUAAGGACUGGUAUGAACGGCAUCACGAAGGUUAUACUGUCUCCUUUUUCUAAUCAGUGAAUCUAAUCUCCCCGUGAAGAAGCGGGGAUAAAACUAUAAGACGAGAAGACCCUAUGGAGCUUUAAACUAAGUAACAAUUGCUUACGCAUUCUUUCAUUUCAGAAUACUAACACUUAUCCUAGCUAUAUGUUUACUAGUUUUAGGUUGGGGUGACCGCGGAGUAAAAAAUAACCUCCACAUUGAAUGGAAUUAAAUUCCUGAGUCAUGGACUACAACCCUAAACACCAAUAAAUUGACAUCAAUUGACCCAAUAGUUUGAUCAACGAACCAAGUUACCCUAGGGAUAACAGCGCAAUCCGCUUAAAGAGCUCCUAUCGACAAGCGGGUUUACGACCUCGAUGUUGGAUCAGGGUGUCCCAGUGGUGCAGCCGCUACUAAAGGUUCGUUUGUUCAACGAUUAAAACCCU